RNAcentral lists this ribosomal RNA (246 nucleotides) under uncultured Flavobacterium sp. RNAcentral's name for it is "partial 16S ribosomal RNA". It matches the Rfam family "Bacterial small subunit ribosomal RNA", at positions 9 to 253 of the family's 1533-position model. Lineage: Bacteria; Pseudomonadati; Bacteroidota; Flavobacteriia; Flavobacteriales; Flavobacteriaceae. The record is from RNAcentral.
GAGUUUGAUCGUGGCUCAGGAUGAACGCUAGCGGCAGGCCUAACACAUGCAAGUCGAGGGGUAGAGUUAGCUUGCUAACUUGAGACCGGCGCACGGGUGCGUAACGCGUAUGCAAUCUACCUUGUACAGGGGGAUAGCCCAGAGGAAAUUUGGAUUAAUACCCCAAUAGUGUUAUUGGAUGGCAUCAUUUGAUAACUAAAGUUCCAACGGUACAAGAUGAGCAUUGCGUCCCAUUAGCUAGUUGGU